RNAcentral lists this ribosomal RNA (1046 nucleotides) under uncultured bacterium. RNAcentral describes it as "bacterial SSU rRNA". It matches the Rfam family "Bacterial small subunit ribosomal RNA", at positions 31 to 1071 of the family's 1533-position model. The record is from RNAcentral.
UGACGCUGGCGGAUGCCUUACACAUGCAAGUCGAACGGCAGCACUGGGGCAACCCUGGUGGCGAGUGGCGAACGGGUGAGUAAUACAUCGGAACGUGUCCAGUAGCGGGGGAUAACCUCUCGAAAGAGAGGCUAAUACCGCAUACGACCUACGGGUGAAAGAGGGGGAUCGCAAGACCUCUCACUAUUGGAGCGGCCGAUGUCGGAUUAGCUAGUUGGUGGGGUAAAAGCCCACCAAGGCUACGAUCCGUAGCUGGUCUGAGAGGACGACCAGCCACACUGGAACUGAGACACGGUCCAGACUCCUACGGGAGGCAGCAGUGGGGAAUUUUGGACAAUGGGCGCAAGCCUGAUCCAGCCAUGCCGCGUGGGUGAAGAAGGCCUUCGGGUUGUAAAGCCCUUUCGGCUGGGACGAAAAGGUCCGUAUUAACACUACGGAUCCAUGACGGUACCAGCAGAAGAAGCACCGGCUAACUACGUGCCAGCAGCCGCGGUAAUACGUAGGGUGCAGGCGUUAAUCGGAAUUACUGGGCGUAAAGCGUGCGCAGGCGGUCUUUUAAGUCAGAUGUGAAAUCCCCGGGCUUAACCUGGGAACUGCGUUUGAAACUGGAAGGCUAGAGUGUGGCAGAGGGGGGUGGAAUUCCACGUGUAGCAGUGAAAUGCGUAGAUAUGUGGAGGAACACCGAUGGCGAAGGCAGCCCCCUGGGCUAACACUGACGCUCAUGCACGAAAGCGUGGGGAGCAAACAGGAUUAGAUACCCUGGUAGUCCACGCCCUAAACUAUGUCAACUGGUUGUCGGGGAAGCAAUUCCUUGGUAACGAAGCUAACGCGUGAAGUUGACCGCCUGGGGAGUACGGCCGCAAGGUUAAAACUCAAAGGAAUUGACGGGGACCCGCACAAGCGGUGGAUUAUGUGGAUUAAUUCGAUGCAACGCGAAAAACCUUACCUACCCUUGACAUGCCAGGAACCUCGCAGAGAUGUGAGGGUGCCCGAAAGGGAGCCUGGACACAGGUGCUGCAUGGCUGUCGUCAGCUCGUGUCGKAGAG